UACGGGGGGGGCAAGCGUUGUUCGGAAUUACUGGGCGUAAAGGGCUCGUAGGUGGCCAACUAAGUCCGACGUGAAAUCCCUCGGCUUAACCGGGGAACUGCGUCUGAUACUGGAUGGCUUGAGUUUGGGAGAGGGACGCGGAAUUCCAGGUGUAGCGGUGAAAUGCGUAGAUAUCUGGAGGAACACCGGUGGCGAAGGCGGCGUCCUGGACCAACACUGACAUUGAGGAGCGAAAGCCAGGGGAGCAAACGGG
RNAcentral lists this ribosomal RNA (253 nucleotides) under uncultured bacterium. RNAcentral's name for it is "partial 16S ribosomal RNA". It matches the Rfam family "Bacterial small subunit ribosomal RNA", at positions 524 to 776 of the family's 1533-position model. The record is from RNAcentral.